CCUACGGGAGGCAGCAGUGGGGAAUAUUGCACAAUGGGGGAAACCCUGAUGCAGCGACGCCGCGUGAAGGAAGAAGUAUUUCGGUAUGUAAACUUCUAUCAGCAGGGAAGAAAAUGACGGUACCUGACUAAGAAGCCCCGGCUAACUACGUGCCAGCAGCCGCGGUAAUACGUAGGGGGCAAGCGUUAUCCGGAUUUACUGGGUGUAAAGGGAGCGUAGGCGGUUCAGCAAGUCAGAAGUGAAAGCCCGGGGCUCAACGCCGGGACUGCUUUUGAAACUGUUGGACUAGAGUGCAGGAGGGGUAAGUGGAAUUCCUAGUGUAGCGGUGAAAUGCGUAGAUAUUAGGAGGAACACCAGUGGCGAAGGCGGCUUACUGGACUGUAAAUGACGCUGAGGCUCGAAAGCGUGGGGAGCAAACAGGAUUAGAUACCCGGGUAGUC
Molecule: ribosomal RNA, 440 nt
Filed under: uncultured bacterium
Lineage: Bacteria
Description: partial 16S ribosomal RNA
Rfam family: Bacterial small subunit ribosomal RNA
Source: RNAcentral